CUCCCAAGUGUAUAGUGCUUUGGGCACAUUAAGCAUUCAACAAAUAGUACUGAUUGAUUGAUUUCUUCCCCUAAUAGACAAAGUUAACUACAAACACCUUAGAAAGGAAACUGAUUUCUUCCAUGGUAUCAUUUCAACUUUUUUUUUUCCUCUUCCAGGUAAGUGAAGUACAAAUUUAAAAUGGUUUAAACAAGUGGGGGAAGGGGUGAUGAGAGUCAAUUUAAACAUUCCAAACACACUGAAUCAGCACGACAUUGUUUGUUUAAUGAGAUAACUCUUACUGACCACUUAAAACCAAUCACAGGUCACAGCCUGAAGUAGAGAUCAAUUAUGAAAAAAUCAUUUAUGUUUCUAAAUUCUAAUUAAAAACACUUUAACAGAAAAUCUCUGCCAGGUGCAAAUCAUCCCAAGGAAUCCUAAGGAAUUGGAGCUGUGAUUAGAACCCAAGUCCUCUGCUCUCUCCACUAAGUGACACUGCUUUUCCAAUUCCCUGAGGUUCUGGACUGUAAGCUCAUUGAGGGCAGGGAAUGUGUCUACCCACCUAUGUUAUACUUUACUCUCCCAAGAACUCAGUAAAGUUCUCUGCACAUGGUAAGCGCUCAAUAAAUACCAUUGAUUGAUUGAUGAGUCAUAGUGACUUUGUUCCCACAGUUUGGCCUCAUUUCCUUCCCAUGCAGGAAAUCACUCCAGAUUGUCAGAUUUUGGAGGAGUGCUUUGAGUGUUUCCACUGGCUUGGAUCUGUAGAGCAGGAUCAAAGCUGAAGGCCCACGUCAACGAGAUGGUCAACGUGCCGGUAUUUGAGAAACACUUUGCGGAUGCCUGUCUGAAACAGAAACAGCAGGGAGACUAUUCAACCACAAGAAAGAGCCAGCCCUGACGGUGGGGCUUGCUGUUUCUUCCCACUGGAAGUAAGCUUCUCCAGGGCAGACUUUAAUAAGCUUGUUGUGAGCUGGGAAUGGGUCUACC
Ornithorhynchus anatinus (platypus) is the source of this 966-nucleotide long non-coding RNA. RefSeq lists it as uncharacterized. The record is from RefSeq and is a predicted model, not a curated record. The transcript has 5 exons. Lineage: Eukaryota; Metazoa; Chordata; Mammalia; Monotremata; Ornithorhynchidae.